GCUCAGAUAGCUCAGUUGGUAGAGCAGAGGACUGAAAAUCCUCGUGUCGGUGGUUCGAUUCCGCUUCUGAGCA
RNAcentral lists this transfer RNA (73 nucleotides) under Clostridiales bacterium. Its description in RNAcentral is "tRNA-Phe". It matches the Rfam family "tRNA". From Rfam's summary of the family: Transfer RNA (tRNA) molecules are approximately 80 nucleotides in length. Their secondary structure includes four short double-helical elements and three loops (D, anti-codon, and T loops). Further hydrogen bonds mediate the characteristic L-shaped molecular structure. tRNAs have two regions of fundamental functional importance: the anti-codon, which is responsible for specific mRNA codon recognition, and the 3' end, to which the tRNAs corresponding amino acid is attached (by aminoacyl-tRNA synthetases). tRNAs cope with the degeneracy of the genetic code in two manners: having more than one tRNA (with a specific anti-codon) for a particular amino acid; and 'wobble' base-pairing, i.e. permitting non-standard base-pairing at the 3rd anti-codon position. Lineage: Bacteria; Bacillati; Bacillota; Clostridia; Eubacteriales. The record is from RNAcentral.